Molecule: ribosomal RNA, 683 nt
Filed under: Glomeromycotina sp.
Lineage: Eukaryota; Fungi; Glomeromycota
Description: eukaryotic LSU rRNA
Rfam family: Eukaryotic large subunit ribosomal RNA
Source: RNAcentral
AAAAGAAACUAACAAGGAUUCCCCUAGUAACGGCGAGUGAAGCGGGAAGAGCACAAAUUUUAAAUCUACCUGGUUUCCAGGUCGAGUUGUAAUUUGAAGAAGUGUUUUUUACUUUCCGGGUUGGGUUAAAUCCUUUGGGAUAAGGUAUCAUGGAGGGUGAGAAUCCCGUGUAUACCAACCGCAGGAUYGUUUAAUAUACACUUUCUAAGAGUCGAGUUGUUUGGGAAUGCAGCUCUAAAUGGGUGGUAAAUUUCACCUAAUGCUAAAUAUAAGCGAGAGACCGAUAGCGAACAAGUACCGUGAGGGAAAGAUGAAAAGAACUUUGAAAAGAGAGUUAAAUAGUACGUGAAAUUGUUGAAAGGGAAACGGUURAAGUCAGUCAUGCCGGCGGGAAUCAACUUAGGGGAAACUCUGAGUGCACUUCUUCGCUUGGCAGGUUAGCGUCGAUUUUGGAUGUCAUAAAAUGACUGGGGGAAGGUAGCUCUUUCGGGAGUGUUAAGCCCUURGUAGAUGUGAUGUCYGGGAUCGAGGAUUGCAACGGAUACCUUUUGGGCUARCCGCCUAGUCUCUAAUAYGAAGUUGGGUUAUGGACAGCACGCUGACUGUGAUCUGAUUUUCGGUUAAAAGAUUAGAGCGAGUGUAAAUUCGUUAAGGACGCURACGUAAUGGCUUUAAACGACCCG